UGUGGAUGUGUGUGAGAGGUGAACUCAGGCUGUUUGUGGAUUGAAUUAAACUCACUUGACUUUCAGUCCACUGUAAUACACUGAAAAAAAAACCCUAGAUUUAUUUCAACUGAGUGUAAAUAGAUUUUAAUGACACGGCUCGUCUAUUUUUACUUUGUGGAAAGGUGACUGUCGAUCGCUGGCGCCUGCUUAACAAGAUCAUCUGAACUGAAUUAUAUUAUUAGCCAGAACUUCUCUAGCGCCUCCUUUAGGUCAGUUUUGGACUCUAAACGAUGUCUCUGCUAAUAAUAUUAGCUUUGUUUCUAAUUUAAGCAAAUGUUCCAAGAUGGAUGUUUGUUGUUAUCGUCAUAUGAUCUCUCCCAUCAUAAAAAUCAAUGUCAUACUCAGAACUGAUUAAGCUUUUGACUGAGGACAAUAAAAGUAGCAGGAAGAUGUAAACAUGAGCUGCUGCUCAACAUCACAAGACAGGAACACAGUUUCUCGUUGUCUCAGAUGGUGGUUUGGAAAAUGGUGCAAUGCCUUGGCUGCCGUUCCCAUCCCUCCAAGUCUGUCAAUUAGUGAUAAUGGACCCCAUCGGCAGAGAGAGGCCACUCCCUCACUCCUUCUACCCUCCCUCCUUCACACUUUCUCUCUCUCUGCCCGUCUUUCUUUCUACCUCUCAGUCAGUAAUAAUGGAGCCCGGCAGUCCAAAGAAGAUCCAGUUUGCUGUGCCUCCCCUGCAGGGACAGAUUGACCCACAGGCUGCUGAACAUAUCCGCCGCAGGAGACCGACCCCCGCCACCCUGCAGAUCUACAGACAACCUGGGACAGAUGUUGGAGAUCAACAAAACACCAGCGGGGAGCCACAGGCCUCAGACGGCGCUCAGAGGAAGCAGAGCACAUACGCCCCCCCAUCAAUGAAAGGUAAACCUUGGGCUGGGGGUGGAGCAACAUCUCCUGGGGGCGGGGCUCUGUGAAACAGACAGCCAGCUGAGCCCAAUCACAGCGCAACUGUAUGCCACCGGUUACACGUGGGCCAAUCACAAUCAGCCAGAGGAAGCCAAUGGGAAUGAGGCGUGUUUGCUGUUAACCAAUCAGGAGAGAGGCGUGGCAGAGAGCAACAGCUCAGGGGGUAAACUGGAAAGAACUGUACCUGAGGAAGAAGAGGGGGAAAGCAGCCAUCAGGGAUGACUGAUCGUCACCAGCAGCAAAGAUACGCACAGAAGAAGCAGGCAUAUAUUUUGAAGUUUGGAAAAAUCAAGAUGAAUGCCUACAUCAAAUCAAAUAUAGUACUAACAUGACAGGGAAUCUAUCAGAGUGAUAGCUCACACAGUGUUACAAAAGAAAAUCCUUUUUUUUUAUGUGAGCAUGUAAACAAACUGUACCUGCUGAAGUUUUCCAGAAGCAUCUCACCAUCAUGUUCUACACACAAACUAUCAGUUUACACACUUAUUGUUCCAACCCUUAUAUCUGUAUCAGUGAGCUUAUUCUGAGAGACAGUACAAAAUCAAAAUGGUGUUCACCAUUCUAUUCUUACAUUGUUAAGUGUUUCGUUUCUAAUCUAUAUGACAAUUAGGCAACCAAAUGCCCUUUAAAAAGUGACGGAAAAGAAUUUGAGGCUGUAAGUUUUUUAGACUUUUCUUAAGUUUCAAGAUUAUGCAAACAAAAAAAUGCUUAGGAUAUAAAGUGUGCAUUUUUAAUUGUUUGUCAAUUAGCCGCUUUCUGCAACGGGAUAGUCACGUUAGCUAGCUAUAGCAGUUAGCUAAACUUACAAAGGUCAAAGAUUUGAAAGAAAUGAAAAAAUAAUUGUUAAACUGACAAAUAUUAAUAUUUUCAUUUUAUGUAUAAGAUGAAACCGUAAAAAGCUUAAUAAAAAUAGACACUUAAAAAUGAUUUUCUCCCACUUCCAGUUUUAAAUGACACAUUAGCUUGAGCUAAUCUUAGUUUAAUUAGCAGGGACAGUGGGGUAAAAUGAGCCUUUUUUUCUUAUUUUACUUAUGUUGUUAUCUAGGCAUGUACAAAUGACAUGUGACUGUAACAAAAACGCUUAUCUUUAUUUCAGGAUGUCUUUUUUCAGUUGAAAUGCAAAUCAUCACAUGAGGAACAAAUUGGUCCUGUGGUUCUAUUUGCCCGGUAAACUGACCGCCUCCAUAAGCUGAACAUCCUACCAACACAGCUACUUUCUUCCCAGAAUUUAGAGACAGAGAUUCUGUUUCUUUCUGCUAAUUCAAAUGGCAAUUUAGAGCAUUUUUAAAGUCAGGCGAUGGAAGCAGUGUUUACCCCACAGCCACCAACUGGCCUACUGGCUUAGCAAAUUAAAUGUAUGCCAUACUUGUAGAUGAUUUCCCAUCUACAUGCAUGGUGUACAUUUUAAGAGCUAGGCAAAUUUGCUCUCAAGUCCUUACAGCUGAAAUGUUAAGCAAAAACUUACGUUGACAUACAAAAACACUUUUUUAAAAAAGAAAAAGAACAAAACUAAAACUAAACAAAUUUGUCACACCUAAACAAUAUUUUAGUAAGAUAAACAAAGUGCUCAGACCUCAACAGAAAAUGAAUCUGUAAAUGAGUGUUUGAAAUAUGAAAAGGAAAGAUACACAUCAAUUAGAUUGGGAUUUGGGUCAUGUUUCAAAAAUACUGUAUUUAGCCCCAUUUAAUGAAUGGAAACAUCAAAGUCUGCUGUUGAGUGAAAGCCACUGAUGUUUGUGUUCUGACUUACUAUGAAACUAGAAUGAAUGAAAAACAAUGUGAUUCAUGAAAGACUCAGUUUAUGUUGUAUCUAACACUUCCAUUUUAAAGUUUUUAUUUGUAAGUGAAACUAACCUAAAAAAAAAAAAAAAAAAGAAGUCUUUUUUUUACAACCGGCUGUCCUGGAUAAUUUCUACCAUUCUUAAAUUGGUAUCAGGGUCACACUCUGGGAAACCCUGAAGUGUUUACUAAUUCAGAUAAGAUGAACAAUAUGUUAUCAUAUUGUGCCUUUGCAAUUUCUACAUCAGGCAGUGAUAUUUAACUGACUACAUGUUUUUACAUAAACUGUUUUUAAUAAGAGCAGAUUCAGCAGGAUAAUAUUUUGAACAUACAAUGUGCAUCUGAUUUCAUAUUAUCCUGAACACCCAUACAAAGCGUUAACAAGCGCUGUUUUUGAGUCUUAGUAAGAGUUUGAAUAGAGUGCCCCCUGCUGGCUUCUGCCAGACAGCAGCGCUCUUUCUGGGUUGGGUUAGUUUUUAGCUCUAUUUUUUUUUACCCAGGGUGUCGUUCCACUGUUCCGCAGAAAUAUGUACCAUCUGCAAAUGGUUUUAUAGCUUUUAUUUAAAAGAAACCAACAUACAAGAGUGAAAACAAAAUGUUCAAAAUUAUUUUUUGCAAUCAUCAAAAGUGUUGUUUUGGUGGAUUUGUGUUUAAAUCUUUUUAAUUUAUUUUCAGUUUCUUCUGACAAUACAUAAAUGUAAUGUUUUCAAGCUAAAACGUUAACAGACUCAAGUCCAGAGUCCUAACUGUAGUCAGUGGAGGAAGCUGCACAUUAGGGUGAUGGUGAGACUUUCCCACAUUAAAACACCAAAGAUGCAUUGAGUCAGAAUACAAGUUAAAACAAGUACAAAUCUGGUCAACCAAUCAUAAUUACUGGAAGGCUUCAACAGAUUUUUCUGUUGAUCAUUGGGGAAAGAAGGUGGAAACCAUUGUUUCCACCUUUGCCUUUUAAAACAAAAUGCAAGACAAAAAGGCCUUCCCCCCCAAAACUGAUGCUACUUUCACAUUGCUUUAUGUUUUGAAAAACAUAUUUUUAUUUAGAAACAUAUUUCCAAUUAGAAACUAAUCAACUGAAUGAUAGUUGAUUAGCUGUACUGACAGGAGUGUGAAUAAUUUUGGAGUUAACUGUACAUCUCAAAACUGAGCGGGAACCUUGUCUGUCUGAGUGACAGUCAGCAGACACAGCGUACACCUGAGAUUAAUUAGUCUACAAUAAUGUGUGAUUUCAAUGAAAGGAGUCUCUGUGGAAUCAUUGUAUCCUCCCAGAUAACUGUAGGAUAUGACCCCUGGCUGUGUGAAAACCCAAAAUGUGGCCCCAAGCAGCUUGUAAUGGAUCUAGGAGCUGUUCUCUACCUGGUCACCUUCACUUAAUGUUUUAGCAGUAGAAUAGAACAGAGUAGAAUAGAAUAUACUUUAUAUACUUAAAGGUUGGGCACACUAGCAGCUGCCAUUAAUACUCCACAAAUGCUCUCUGGUGCCAAACGUACCCUACCAGCCAUUUUCAAUACAAUGCACUCGUAUCAAACUGGAUCCAAAUCAAAAGAUUUCAUCUGGAUGAUUAACUGUUUUUAAUCACUACACAUUUUGUACUUACCUCUGCUCUACAGGUCAGUAGAUCCAUCAGAAACCAUUGCUGUUAUGAGCAGGUAAAGUCUGUCCUAAACAGUCGUUGGUAUUCAUGCUUUCUUUUCCUGGUUCAACAUAACCAGAUCAUUAGUAGCCUGGUAAAAUCCAGGCCUUGUUCUGCACCUUACUUCAUCCAGAGGGUCUGGACCCCAGCUGUGGGGAAAUGAUCACUUCCUUGAGGUGUGGACUCUGUUAAAAUCUUUAAUUUUACUCCAUUGCUAAAUGUUUGCUUAUCAGACGUGUGUAAUUAGUUAUUAUACUGGCAUUACACCAAUUCAUGAUCUGUUACACACCCGACAUCUAACUGACAUUUGCGUGCUCCACCUGAGCGUCGCACUAAGAUUGCAGGACGGUUCAAAGGUUAAUAUGCUGUUUAUACAAGAACCUCUAAAUAAAUAAAAAGUAUAUAUAUAUAUAUAUAUAUACACUAAGAUAAAAAUAAAAAAAUAUACAUGUGACAAUUAAAAUAAAAUACUGCAGAUGUUUUUCAUUUGUCCCUUUAAAUCCUAAUACCAAACUGUAAAUAUACAGCUGAUAAGAAGAAUCCAGUGAAAACACCACCAGGAGUGUUUACAUAUAUAUAUUUAUUUAGUCUUAUUGCAGCUCCAGGUUUUUGUAGUUUCACAGGUCAGAGGUGGAUUAGCGUUUGAGUUGCUUUUUCAUCAGAGGAACUGGUUGAAUUUAUUUCCUGUUAAUAAAGUUAAGCACAACGGAUUAAUAAAACCUCGGAGUGUGGAUGCUCAGCUUUCAACUUCACGAGUGUAAAAACGGGGCGAGGAAAACACCAAGUCUGCUCCGAUAAGGCCCUCCGAAGAGGGAACAGCUGAGGGGAAUGUCUGCAGCCGUUCCUGUCACUUGUUCCCUCAAAGUUUUUGUUCCUGCUAACAAAGCUGCCGCACAGUCGCACUUAAAAAAAAAA
RNA transcript from Xiphophorus hellerii (green swordtail), 5269 nucleotides. It is a transcript of the gene named protein phosphatase 1 regulatory subunit 1C, with no coding region annotated. The transcript is spliced from 6 exons. The record is from RefSeq and is a predicted model, not a curated record. NCBI's taxonomy places the organism in Eukaryota, Metazoa, Chordata, Actinopteri, Cyprinodontiformes, Poeciliidae.